AAUAUUGUAAAUUGCUCCUACAGUACGUGAUAAUUAUGAGAACGCAGUUUCAAAUAUAGAUGACCACUUGGAGGAUAAUGGCAAUUUUCUUUUUUAAGUGAAGGAUAAGGGCAGUUCACAUCAUCACUUUUAAGCAAUUGAUGACCAAAACUUUUACAUGCAAAAUUUACUGCACUACAACUCAGCACACAAUGCAUAACGAAGACAAAUUAAAAGCAAAGCAACUUCUACAAUGGAGUUUAUUUACUUCUGGCAUAUAUUACCAUAUAAAUGGAAUUUAUUUAGUCUGGGUCUCAGAAAACAAGUUACUUGAGCUAGGAUUGUUUGAGUGUAUCGUCCGAGGUCCUAGCAAGAAACCUUUCCUUGUCCGUAUGCUAUAGUAGCAUUAGUAGAGCUUGCAACCAAAGUAGCCGCAAAAGUCAAUUAUGCGUGCUCCUGAAAAACGUAAAUAAAUUUGUAGGAUAAAUUGUGUGAAGAAAGCAAAUAGAAAAAAACACUUAAGAAGUGAAAACAGAGAAAAUACUGCUGAAAGUGAAUACAAAGAGAGUACAAAGUGGUAUGCUUGCAAGAUAAGAACCACCUUUGCGUGCAAGAUAGGAACCACCUAUUAGAGCAGAAAGAGAACACUGCAUAAAUAGAAUGAACAAGCACUAAUGUGAAAUUGGUUGUCAGCCAGGUAGUUGUGAGAGGUUGGGACUCGGAGAAACUGCAGCGUACAGUUGAUGGGCAACAUGACACACUAGUAGUGAGUAGUAGGGACUAUAGCUUAGUUAAUCACCAGAAAUGGCACCACAAACUUGCCUCUGAUAAUUGCAUUUUCUCUUAAGGAACCUUGCUUGUGAUCAAACAUGUUCAAAAAUAUAUAAGGAGCAUCACUCUUUUACAUUAUAUUCAUGCAAAUACAUAUGACAGUCAGGAUCCUCUCUUCAAGUUCAAGCCGAUGGCUAAUAAGAUGAUGCCAGUACUGGAUAGGGAAAUGACAUAUACAUUCUUAAAAAAGGUAGAACUUUCAUUGGACAUGCUUGGGGUAGGGUCACAUCAUGCAGCUAAUUUUACUAAAAUAUUGAACCUUACCCUUUUCUUUCUUGACAAAUCACCAUUUCAUACUAAACUAUCACUAGAGACUUAUUUUCUUCUUUGGUGUUUGCAGGCUCACACGUCAAAGUCAUUGCAGGUACUGCUCCUAAUCAAACAUUCCUUCAAUUCAAAAUGGCAAAGGAUGUCUAUUAGCCACAAAUUCUUAUCUUUCUCGACUAUGGCUCUAAACAUUUUCUCGAACCCAUUAAUAACACCAAAUGGUGCCUUCUUAUCCAAACAGUAUAUUGAUUUCCUGUUCACUGCUUGCCAGCUACAUCAUCGGUGGCCACAAUAGUGGUUCUUUUGUUAAUGGUAGCCACUGGACUCUAUCUUUCACUUAAGACAAGAUAUAAUGAGGAGAUACACUUGAAGGUCGAAAUGUUUCUCAAGACAUAUGGCACCUCAAAACCCACAAGGUAUAGCUUCUCUGAACUUAAGAAGAUAACAAGGCGAUUUAAGGAAAAAGUAGGUCAGGGUGGAUUUGGGAGUGUAUACAAAGGCGAGCUACCAAAUGGAGUGCCUGUGGCAAUCAAAAUGUUAGAGAACUCUAUAGGCGAAGGAGAAGAAUUCAUCAACGAAGUUGCAACCAUAGGACUAAUCCACCAUGCAAAUAUUGUGCGUCUCCUAGGUUUUUGCUCUGAAGGAACAAGGCGUGCCCUAAUUUAUGAAUACAUGCCUAAUGAGUCACUGGAAAAAUAUAUAUUCUCAAAUGAUUCUAGUAUUUCCCAGGAUCUACUGGUGCCAAAGAAAAUGGUAGAUAUUGCUUUGGGCAUUGCCCGGGGAAUGGAAUACCUACAUCAAGGAUGCAAUAAACGCAUCCUCCACUUUGACAUCAAGCCUCACAACAUCUUGCUAGACUUCAACUUCAAUCCAAAGAUCUCAGACUUUGGCCUAGCAAAACUGUGUGCAAGGGAUCAAAGCAUCGUUACCUUGACAGCAGCAAGAGGCACUAUGGGAUAUAUGGCACCAGAGUUGUACUCUCGGAAUUUUGGUGGGGUAUCCUACAAGUCUGAUGUUUACAGUUUCGGCAUGCUUGUGUUAGAAAUGUUAAGUGGAAGGAGGACCUCAGACCCAAGUGUUGAUAGCCAAAAUGAUGUUUACCUCCCAGAGUGGAUCUUUGAGAGAGUAAUCACUGGGCAGGACUUGGUACUUUCCAGGGAAAUGACUGCAGCAGAGAAAGAAAAGGUAAAACAGCUAGCCAUGGUGGCCCUAUGGUGCAUUCAAUGGAACCCAAAAAAUCGACCCUCAAUGACAAAAGUGGUGAACAUGUUAACAGGGAGGUUGGAGAAUCUGCAGAUGCCCCCAAAGCCUUUCGUCUAAUCUGAAUUCUGAAAGUCAUCCAGUGUCAUAAAAAAUGAAGAAUCAUCGUCAAAUGUACUGAAUAUUAGAGACAACAAAAAAAAAUAGCUCCUCCUGUGUUGGAGAGUAUUCUAUAGUGUAGUGCCUGCAUGAAAACAUGUUUGGAUUGUUCCACCAUGUAUGUAUGUGAUGCAUUAAUAGUAAUUUGUUGGUUUCUUGACUAUGUAGUGCUAGUUAUCUGCAACGUAUCAGAUCUAAGGUGGACUUGGCUUGUGUGUAAUAGCUUAAAGAGCCAUAUUGCUUCAAUUCAUAAUGAUCUUGCCAUGAUUUAGUUCCUUGCCCUUUUCCGCGGUACAUGUUCUUUUCCAAUUCAAUGAGACAAAAUCUCAAAAUAAGGUGAACCCAGAGUCGAGGAGCAUUCUGUCAAGAAGUCAAUAACCUGUUUGGCUGGCUGAAAAUAAACGUUGAUUUUGACUGAUGGUGAUUUGAUGUGAGAGAAAUACAUUGUUCGAUUUUGGCUGAUAAGCUCAAGAGAAAUAUGUUAGUUGUAUUGUCGAGCAUUGCAGAAAUAUGUUAGAAUAGGUUGGAUCAAUUUCACUCACCAUGUACUGUCGAUCCCAACGGUGAUGAAGCGAUCUAGCCAUGUGCAUGUACUCGCGUGGUAGCCUAGUUAGCAGACGGUAGGAAACAGAUCCGGCACAGAAGAAACGCUGCAUAGGCUAAUUGAUUGAUGAUCGCCUUCCAUCCACUUCGUGUUCAUAGCUACAUGGACCAGUAGGCC
RNAcentral lists this long non-coding RNA (3157 nucleotides) under Zea mays. Its description in RNAcentral is "long non-coding RNA (ZMAY_LNC000483)". The record is from RNAcentral. Lineage: Eukaryota; Viridiplantae; Streptophyta; Magnoliopsida; Poales; Poaceae.